GCUCUGCUCGCACCAUUGUGG
RNAcentral lists this microRNA (21 nucleotides) under Gallus gallus (chicken). Its description in RNAcentral is "gga-miR-3530-5p". Lineage: Eukaryota; Metazoa; Chordata; Aves; Galliformes; Phasianidae. The record is from miRBase by way of RNAcentral.